GAGUUUGAAUGUCCCUCUAGUAUCUUACAUCUUUCUUCUACAGCAAUACAUGAAGAGAGUAACCUGAUAUAAAGACAGGAUUAAGUUAAAUACAGUUGACCUUAUAGCAGGUUUUGUACAUUUGUUUUAAGUCUUUUAAACCUAUGCUAAGUUUGAUGUUUUUCUCUCUGCUGAUGUUAUCAGGUUGUGCAUAAAAGUCCAAAUGAAUCUAAUACCAUAUCAAUAUAAAUUAUGUAAAAUAGAAAUUCA
This 249-nucleotide long non-coding RNA is filed under the name Mytilus galloprovincialis (Mediterranean mussel). The record is from RNAcentral. Lineage: Eukaryota; Metazoa; Mollusca; Bivalvia; Mytilida; Mytilidae.